RNAcentral lists this transfer RNA (74 nucleotides) under Thermoplasmatota archaeon. RNAcentral's name for it is "tRNA-Phe". It matches the Rfam family "tRNA". From Rfam's summary of the family: Transfer RNA (tRNA) molecules are approximately 80 nucleotides in length. Their secondary structure includes four short double-helical elements and three loops (D, anti-codon, and T loops). Lineage: Archaea; Methanobacteriati; Thermoplasmatota. The record is from RNAcentral.
GCCGCGGUAGCUCAGUUUGGGAGAGCGCCAGACUGAAGAUCUGGGUGUCGAGGGUUCAAGUCCCUCCCGCGGCA